Urocitellus parryii (Arctic ground squirrel) is the source of this 996-nucleotide long non-coding RNA. RefSeq lists it as uncharacterized. NCBI's taxonomy places the organism in Eukaryota, Metazoa, Chordata, Mammalia, Rodentia, Sciuridae. The record is from RefSeq and is a predicted model, not a curated record.
CGCCCGCCGUCGCCCCGCUGCCGGGCCGCCCACCGUCGCCACGGCGCUCUGCCCCGGGGUAUGGGUUAUCAAGGCCAGCCCGGUUACGCCCCUCGGCGCCCGCGGGUUGUUCGCCCUCUACCCCGGCGCGCGGGCAGGGCCUUCUCCGUGGGAGGCUGAGAAGGGCAGGGGAAAGUAUGAAUCCAGUUUUCCACCAAAAAACAAUGCAGCUAAGGAUACUACUUGGUUUCACCUAUGCCAAAAGAAUAUUUGGAGUACCAAAUAAGAAUAUCCCUAAAUUGCUGAGUCUCAUGAGUUGCUGAAGCUAGCCUUUGAAUUUAGGAUCAUCCUGCUGCAUUCUGCCUCAGGCUUCUAAGUCACUGGGAUUACAGAGACUUGGUGAAUUUUCCCACAAAGCUGCAAUGAAGACAGAGGGAGAACAAAAUCUAUAUAAAGAGAAAUUACAAGAAGGUGUGAUAUAACACUUGAACAUAUAUACUAAUUUUGACAAAACGUGUUUGGAGCUGAAUUCUUUCUCUGCAUUUGAGCAUUUACAAGAUAAAAGUACAUAUCUUUAGGGAACUAUUAGGGAACUAUUAACUCUAAAUCCCAAUACAUGAAGUUAACUUUAAUUGGCAAAAAGUUAAUUUGACAUUAUUAUUAAAAAUAUCAUUUGGGUUUGUUCAUUUUUUUCUUUUCUUCCUUUCUUUUUUUACUUGUGGUUCUGGGAAUUGAACCCAGGGCCUUUCUCUUGCUAAUCAUGUAUUUUACUACUGAUUACACUCCAGUCCAAUUUUCAAGAGUCAUUUAAUUGAUUUAUUCAAGAUUAGUUAUAUCUCAGAGGACAUUUGAUUUGAAAAUUGGAAAUCCUGAGAAAGUCAGCUCUUUUGUAGAUUUUGAAUAGUUUAGCAAGAAAUUUAAGGGCAAUUUUCUCAAGAUUCUCAAAUACAGUAACAAAUAAUGACUAUGGGGAGGGAGAUAUAAGGCACAUAUGUAAAACCGUUAACAAUUGGUGUA